UGUCUGAACUUAGGUUUUACCUUUUGAUUUUGUCUGUGUAACUUUGAAAGUGUGGCAUUCCAACUUACUUGAUUCCAGUGUCAUUUACAAGUCUUACCAGAACAAACGCGUUCAUCAUGUAAUAAAUCAAAGGCUGCUAUCUUUAAUUAGCUUUUGCAUAUAUUUAAAAAAAAAAUCAAUAUAUUUUGACAAACUAACAUGGCAUCAAAUUAGGUA
RNAcentral lists this long non-coding RNA (216 nucleotides) under Mytilus galloprovincialis (Mediterranean mussel). Lineage: Eukaryota; Metazoa; Mollusca; Bivalvia; Mytilida; Mytilidae. The record is from RNAcentral.